Molecule: transfer RNA, 99 nt
Filed under: Alphaproteobacteria bacterium
Lineage: Bacteria; Pseudomonadati; Pseudomonadota; Alphaproteobacteria
Description: tRNA-Sec
Rfam family: Selenocysteine transfer RNA
Source: RNAcentral
GGAAGGGAACCGCACCCCGGUGGGGCGCCCGGACUUCAAAUCCGGUGGGGCGCGUGUGGACACGUGCCCGGUGGGUUCGACUCCCACUCCUUUCCGCCA